GAUGAACGCUGGCGGCGUGCCUAAUACAUGCAAGUCGAGCGAACGGACGAGAAGCUUGCUUCUCUGAUGUUAGCGGCGGACGGGUGAGUAACACGUGGAUAACCUACCUAUAAGACUGGGAUAACUUCGGGAAACCGUAGCUAAUACCGGAUAAUAUUUUGAACCGCAUGGUUCAAAAGUGAAAGACGGUCUUGCUGUCACUUAUAGAUGGAUCCGCGCUGCAUUAGCUAGUUGGUAAGGUAACGGCUUACCAAGGCAACGAUGCAUAGCCGACCUGAGAGGGUGAUCGGCCACACUGGAACUGAGACACGGUCCAGACUCCUACGGGAGGCAGCAGUAGGGAAUCUUCCGCAAAGGGCGAAAGCCUGACGGAGCAACGCCGCGUGAGUGAUGAAGGUCUUCGGAUCGUAAAACUCUGUUAUUAGGGAAGAACAUAUGUGUAAGUAACCGUGCACAUCUUGACGGUACCUAAUCAGAAAGCCACGGCUAACUACGUG
This 497-nucleotide ribosomal RNA is filed under the name uncultured bacterium. Its description in RNAcentral is "partial 16S ribosomal RNA". It matches the Rfam family "Bacterial small subunit ribosomal RNA", at positions 28 to 507 of the family's 1533-position model. The record is from RNAcentral.